AGCAGCAUGGCGCAGAUGGAAGCGCGCGGGGCCCAUAUGAUUAUAUAAUCAGAAACCCCGAGGUCACUCGAUCGAAACGAGUUGCUGCUA
Molecule: non-coding RNA, 90 nt
Organism: Mycena epipterygia
Lineage: Eukaryota; Fungi; Basidiomycota; Agaricomycetes; Agaricales; Mycenaceae
Source: the annotation of a GenBank genome assembly